AUUGAACGCUGGCGGCAUGCUUUACACAUGCAAGUCGGACGGCAGCACAGAGAAGCUUGCUUCUUGGGUGGCGAGUGGCGAACGGGUGAGUAACAUAUCGGAACGUACCGAGCAGUGGGGGAUAACUAAUCGAAAGAUUAGCUAAUACCGCAUAUUUUCUGAGGAAGAAAGCAGGGGACCAUUUGGCCUUGCGCUGUUUGAGCGGCCGAUAUCUGAUUAGCUAGUUGGUGGGGUAAAGGCCUACCAAGGCGACGAUCAGUAGCGGGUCUGAGAGGAUGAUCCGCCACACUGGGACUGAGACACGGCCCAGACUCCUACGGGAGGCAGCAGUGGGGAAUUUUGGACAAUGGGCGCAAGCCUGAUCCAGCCAUGCCGCGUGUCUGAAGAAGGCCUUCGGGUUGCAAAGGACUUUUGUCAGGGAAGAAAAGGGCGGGGUUCAUACCCCUGUCUGAUGACGGUCACUGAAGCA
This 469-nucleotide ribosomal RNA is filed under the name Neisseria flava. Its description in RNAcentral is "bacterial SSU rRNA". It matches the Rfam family "Bacterial small subunit ribosomal RNA", at positions 30 to 486 of the family's 1533-position model. The record is from RNAcentral. Lineage: Bacteria; Pseudomonadati; Pseudomonadota; Betaproteobacteria; Neisseriales; Neisseriaceae.